This 252-nucleotide ribosomal RNA is filed under the name uncultured bacterium. RNAcentral's name for it is "partial 16S ribosomal RNA". It matches the Rfam family "Bacterial small subunit ribosomal RNA", at positions 524 to 776 of the family's 1533-position model. The record is from RNAcentral.
UACGUAGGUCCCGAGCGUUGUCCGGAUUUAUUGGGCGUAAAGCGAGCGCAGGUGGUUUAUUAAGUCUGGUGUAAAAGGCAGUGGCUCAACCAUUGUAUGCAUUGGAAACUGGUAGACUUGAGUGCAGGAGAGGAGAGUGGAAUUCCAUGUGUAGCGGUGAAAUGCGUAGAUGUAUGGAGGAACACCGGUGGUGAAAGCGGCUCUCUGGCCUGUAACUGACACUGAGGCUCGAAAGCGUGGGGAGCAAACAGG